CAGGAAGAUUAUGAAAGUGAAAGUGACAUACUAGAUUAAUCUGUUACAGACAAGUCGUGUGAAAGAACUGGGUUUACACUACAUCAUGGGCUGGAGAGAGAUGUGAAGAGCUGCCCAUUCUGCUUCCAUCAUCAUGGAGGGGAGGAAAGGAAGAUGGAAAGAUUUCACCAUUCUUACAGCAUCUAGACUUUGAUGAUUAAUUUCAUCUGUGACCCUACCCAGGCCAUGGAGUCACCAAAUUAAGCAUUACUUAUAGAUAAGUGUAUUCUUCAUUUUCAUCAAGGAAACUUCUCCAUGAAACAGACUAAGACUACUACAGAGUGGUGGAGCCCAGUUCCAGUGGUUAUAUCUACAAACACUCUCACAUGCAGGCAUCAGGGAACAUCGUGGAAGAGGGAUGGAAAGACUGUAAGAGCCAGAGAACCAGCAAAUUGGCUGAGAGAUUGUGUCUCCAGUUAUUUGUGUCUAAAUACCAUCCUGCACUAAAAGGAAAACAGUUGUUUCUAGGAGAAAUGGCUGAUU
This is a non-coding RNA of Peromyscus maniculatus bairdii (prairie deer mouse), 522 nucleotides long. Lineage: Eukaryota; Metazoa; Chordata; Mammalia; Rodentia; Cricetidae. The record is from RefSeq and is a predicted model, not a curated record.